RNAcentral lists this signal recognition particle RNA (267 nucleotides) under Candidatus Bipolaricaulota bacterium. Its description in RNAcentral is "signal recognition particle sRNA large type". It matches the Rfam family "Bacterial large signal recognition particle RNA". Rfam says of the family: The signal recognition particle (SRP) is a universally conserved ribonucleoprotein involved in the co-translational targeting of proteins to membranes. The record is from RNAcentral. Lineage: Bacteria; Candidatus Bipolaricaulota.
CCGUGCAGGGUGGGGGGGUAGCGGUCCCCUGGUUCCAAAACCCGCUAUACGUGGAGCCCAUGGGCCCUCCGAGAGGCGGGGUGGCGGAAGCGGCCCGGGAGAGGCGGCGAUGACGGCCGAGCCCCCUGCGACGCAGGCCGGUAAACCCCGCCAGGCCCGGAAGGGAGCAACGGUAAGCCGUAACCUGCGGGUGAUAGGGGACCCCUUGGCCCGAGCCUACCGCCCGGGCGCGCCCGGAGGCCUUGGCCCCGACGGGGGUCCGCACGG